UACGAAGGGUGCUAGCGUUGUUCGGAAUUACUGGGCGUAAAGCGCGCGUAGGCGGCUUUUCAAGUCAAGGGUGAAAUCCUGAGGCUCAACCUCAGAAUUGCCUUUGAAACUGUAAAACUUGAGUGUCGGAGGGGAUAGCGGAAUUGCUAAUGUAGAGGUGAAAUUCGUAGAUAUUAGCAGGAACACCGGUGGCGAAGGCGGCUAUCUGGACGACAACUGACGCUGAGGCGCGAAAGCGCGGGGAUCAAACAGG
RNAcentral lists this ribosomal RNA (253 nucleotides) under uncultured bacterium. RNAcentral's name for it is "partial 16S ribosomal RNA". It matches the Rfam family "Bacterial small subunit ribosomal RNA", at positions 524 to 776 of the family's 1533-position model. The record is from RNAcentral.